AUUCAUCCAUAUAAUCAAUGAAAUAUUCUUCAAGCAAUUUUGAAUAUAUGUCAUGGUGGUGCUAUAUACUCUUAACAAUGAAAAUUACUAUCAUCUCCUUGAGAGUACGUUUUACUUAAAACUUUGCCGAAUUAGAAUUUAGAAUUCACUAUCAUUCUUCAAGCAAAUUUUAUCUUAUUAUUAAUCAUUGAAAUACAUCUUGAUCUCAUUCUACUAAUGUACCGAGAGUGACGAACUUAGUAAUGAUGUAUCAUAUUACCUUGUAAAAUUUAAUUAGAUAUUCCUUCAAUGGUUGAGUUAAUCAUCAAAAUACCACUAUCAUCCUCAAUCUCCUCCUUUUUGAUGAUUACAAAAUAUUGAGUAUGAGCAGAUUGUUACUUAAGUUAAAAUCCGUUUUUAGAAGAGCUCAAGUUGCUGAAUUUCAGCUUUUCAAAUUUGAGAGUGAAGUCUCUCCCUUUUUCAUUCAAAUAUUGCCAAUUUGAACUUUUUGAUUUACUCCCCCUUUCUUUUAUAUUUGGUUAAAGAUGAAAUUUCAAAAAUUUGAGAUAAAACAAGAGUUUCAGAUUAUGUAUCAAGGUAUGAGAAGUACGUGCCAAAUUCUUGAAUUUGAUUUCAAUUUGAGACUUUAACCUUUUCAUUGUUACAUAUUACUCCCCCUUAAGUGUAUAAUCUUUCCUAUUAUCAUUUUCAAUCUUGUUUAUCAACUUAUUUCUUUCCUUACUUCUCCCCCUUGUCCUCAACCCUCGAAAGAAAAGAUCAAACUCGUCGAAUCACUAACAAUCUGAACUGGACUGGUAGUAUCUUUAGAUUCCGGGACGCCGAGACCAUAAGAGUUAAGUUAGCAGGGCGCACAUUCACAAUGGCAAGAGCAAGACAUUUAGAUCCCUUUUCUCUUUUUCCACGGGUCGUUUCAUCCACACCUGCACUUGCAAAGGCAGACGCAUCCCUGGGCGUAGUCAUGACUUGUCAAGAGAACGAUGAGAAAGGCAGAGACUCUCCUUUUGGGCGAGGUCUUCCAAACCUUUGACUCAUUCAGUCAAUCCCCAACGGGGUGGUGUCCCAACGCGAUCGACCGAAAUAAAAUAAUAAACAUUCAGAUUUUACUGAUCAAACAUGGAACAUUGUAGUAUAUUAACACCAAAAAUACAAUGUUUUUCAAUCAAAGUGCAAAGUACAUGAUCAACACAAAAUACAUAUGAGAAUUAGAUAAAUCCUAGGCACUAAUCAAGGUGCUAACAUCAGCCUAGGGGGUAUCUAAUGGCUGUGAUCUAGUCCUCAUCCUCCUAGCAUAAGUAGCGAGGGGAGGUCGAGCCUGAUAGGACU
Molecule: long non-coding RNA, 1323 nt
Filed under: Phoenix dactylifera (date palm)
Lineage: Eukaryota; Viridiplantae; Streptophyta; Magnoliopsida; Arecales; Arecaceae
Description: long non-coding RNA (PDAC_LNC007997)
Source: RNAcentral